RNAcentral lists this long non-coding RNA (1017 nucleotides) under Manihot esculenta (cassava). Its description in RNAcentral is "long non-coding RNA (MESC_LNC000914)". The record is from RNAcentral. Lineage: Eukaryota; Viridiplantae; Streptophyta; Magnoliopsida; Malpighiales; Euphorbiaceae.
GGCUUCAUAAUAUGAUGAUGUAGAUUUAUGUAUUCUUUGCCUUCAAAACUAAAAAGGAAGCUGAUUGUCACGCAACAAGACUUUUUAGCUUGUCAACAUGCGGCAUUUGUGAGGUUGUUCUCCCCUGAACUAACACAAGGAAGCCUAAUCAAUCAAAUGGCUGUACAGAUUACAAGAGCUUUCUUAAUGCAAUCAAUCUCUAAUAUUCUAUUUGUUAUUUACAAAUUCGUGAGACUCUCUAUUUAUAGAUUAAGACCUCAUUAAUUAAGACUUUUUGGAGAAAUUCCCCGCCAGCUAUGUUUUUGAGAAGCUGGAUGUUCUGCUGGUCAACUUUCCCCCAAUUCUGGAAUCUUCCCCAGCCUAGCAGUCUUGCUAGAUUCGUAGGCCUACCACAGAGAACGGCCCAGCAGCCCUUAAGUGGACUUCUCAUAUCCAGCCUCAUGGAUGGCCAGUGCCUGCGCCUGGCAGUCCAGUCCGCAUGUCCAGUUUCUUGCGCGCCUAACCCAUCCUGCAGUGCUUUCUCCCAGCUGUCUAUCGUUCCUCAGAAUUUGGAGGUUGACAUGAUGCUGCCCUUUCUGCAUUUCCUGGGAAGCUAAGGUCAGGAAGCAACAAAGAAUAAUAUGGGCUAUAAAAUUUCUUUUUCUGUCUCCUCCUUGUAAGAGUUAAGGUGAUGAGCAGAAUUGAGAAAUUGAGAAUUCCCAUUUCAAUUGUCAUGAUUUUUAUCUGCUUGCUCAUCUCCAGAGUUGAACUCAGUUGAAGUAUCAUCAGACUGCAGACCUUCAUUUUCUCGUUGUCUCACAAAUUGUCUGCGACUGCUUGCUCUAAUUGGCCUUCCCAUAAAUAUCUAUCCCUUAAUAAAUUCUCAGAGAGUUAGUUCUUCACGUCAGGCAGUCUUUAAGGACUCCAAGCAAGAAGGCAAUGAAUUCACAUUCUUCAGCAAUCAAAUUAGUGUAGCAUAAUUGCAAGACCUAAUAUUACUUUUCUGGUGGAGAUUUAAAAAAACUGACUUGAUUGUAC